AUGCAUCUCUGACAGACUUGGAGCAGUUAAUGACUGCUGCCAAGGUUUCCAGUACAGAUGCAAGGAGAAAAAAAAGGUCCUCAUGCUUUCUGUUAGUCCAAUUGCGGCAGCCAAGAUUGAACAGGGGAAUACAGGA
Molecule: small nucleolar RNA, 136 nt
Filed under: Dasypus novemcinctus (nine-banded armadillo)
Lineage: Eukaryota; Metazoa; Chordata; Mammalia; Cingulata; Dasypodidae
Description: Small nucleolar RNA SNORA31 (ENSDNOG00000040307.1)
Rfam family: Small nucleolar RNA SNORA31
About the family: ACA31 (SNORA31) belongs to the H/ACA class of snoRNAs which are thought to guide the sites of modification of uridines to pseudouridines. ACA31 is predicted to guide the pseudouridylation of U3713 in 28S rRNA and U218 in 18S rRNA.
Source: RNAcentral